This 434-nucleotide ribosomal RNA is filed under the name Simulium mirum. Its description in RNAcentral is "partial 12S ribosomal RNA". The record is from RNAcentral. Lineage: Eukaryota; Metazoa; Arthropoda; Insecta; Diptera; Simuliidae.
AAAAAUAAAAUUAAUUUGAAUUUUUUAAGUGAAAUUUUAAAUUUAAUUAAUUUUAUAACAAAAAUUUUAAUGAAGCUAAAAAAUUUUAAUAAUAAACUAGGAUUAGAUACCCUAUUAUUUAAAAAGUAAGUUUAUAUACUUGAGUAGUAAUAGAUAUGAUCUUCAAACUUAAAGAAUUUGGCGGUGUUUUAGUCUAUUUAGAGGAACCUGUCCUGUAAUCGAUAAUCCACGUUGGACCUUACUAAAAUUUGUUGUCAAUUUGUAUAUCGCCGUUAUCAGAAUAUCUUAAAAGAGGAAUAAUUUUCUUAAUUUAUAAUUAUAAUUGAUGUCAGGUCAAGGUGCAGUUUAUAUUUUAGUAGAGAUGGGUUACAAUAAAUUUAUUUAUACAUUAAAUUGUUUGAAAUAAUGAUUUUAAGGUGGAUUUAAAAGUAAAA